GUUCAAUGUAAAAACUGAACACUAUAUCUGAAGUAAGAAUAGACUGAAACCCCCACCGAAAGGAGGAAGAAGAGAAUGAACAGCAGAAACUGAGAAGGAAGAAACGAGUGUGGCCACAGAUGAAAUAACCAACCAUUAGAGAAAGAUAGAUCCAUUUCGCCAGAGAUGUGGAAGUCAAACCACCGAUAUUUUAAACUUGUUUUGUGAUUCAAUGUAUUUGUUAUUCUUGUUGGUUUUUUUUUUCUCUCUCUUUUUUCUUUCUCUUUUUUUUUCUCCCUUUUUUUCUCUUUCUUUUUUUUUUCUUUUUCUUUUUCUCUCUUUUCUUCUUUUCUCCUUGUAGGUUUUCCUUUCCCUAGUAUAUCUGUGUGCACAAUCUUUAUGUAUAUAUGUACACUAAUAUGUCAAAACUUAAUAAAAAAGACUUGAUAAAAAAAGAAGUCAUGAGGUCACUAAGGAUCUCAUCACAUUGAGGUGAUGAGUGUCUUCUCUGCAGUGCCAACACACUGCCAGCAUGGAAUCCUCCAGAGCCUAUCAGAUGAUGCAAGGCUAUUUCCAGCAGGGUUCCUCCAUUGGACUUCAUGCUGGCAGUGCAGAGAAAUGGAGCCCAGAGGUGUCAGAUUUAUGCCCAACUCCUCAUACCCAACAGGCAGAAGAGCUGAAGAGGAAGCAGGGAUAGAUAGGGAAACAUCAUGUGAGGGGAGACUACAGGCACAGAUGGGAGGUAACAGAAUAACGGCUUCUUUUGGUGCCCCACACUUGCCCCUGCUGCCCCGGCUGUACCCCACUUUAUCCCUACUCAUGUGAUAAGGUUCUUAGUUUCAUUCCAAAAUUCUGAGUGACGUAUUAAGGAGGGGAAAAAAUCACUCUGUCCUUUCUUCAGGGGCCAGGGUGCAAAAUAGUUAAAUUGUAUAGUCAAUUUAGUAGGGAAAAUAAAUCUGUGACUUGUUAACUUAUGCUGAAAAAAAAUGAGACUGAAAAGAAUUUGGUAUGGCUUUCCUAGAUGACUGAUGAAGGCUAUGGUGUCCACUCAUGUUUCUGGAACUUUUUUUUUUCCUCAGUGACUCUUGAUCUUUAACAGCUACCUGUCAGGCAGGGACAGAUGGCCCACUCCAUAGCACAAACAAUUCUACCUGUUUACUUUGGCCA
Molecule: long non-coding RNA, 1146 nt
Filed under: Anolis carolinensis (green anole)
Lineage: Eukaryota; Metazoa; Chordata; Lepidosauria; Squamata; Anolidae
Description: lncRNA (ENSACAG00000041937.1)
Source: RNAcentral